UUGUGGUUUUUACAGGGAAUGGUAUCUCCAUUUAAAGGACCGUAGAAGACGAAUAGAAUUGGCCUUGACCUAAAUUAAAAGGCAAAGUGCAUGUGAGCAUGCCUAAAUUGGAUGGUCAAAUUGUGAAGCUGAUAAGCUGAUCCCAUUCAUUUUAUGAAUAAGCAAAUUAAGACCUUGUUAACUGAAAAGCAACCUACUGGCAGUCUCCC
Long non-coding RNA from Tupaia belangeri chinensis (Chinese tree shrew), 209 nucleotides. RefSeq lists it as uncharacterized. The record is from RefSeq and is a predicted model, not a curated record. Lineage: Eukaryota; Metazoa; Chordata; Mammalia; Scandentia; Tupaiidae. The transcript has 3 exons.